GGUUAAGCGACUAAGCGUACACGGUGGAUGCCCUGGCAGUCAGAGGCGAUGAAGGACGUGCUAAUCUGCGAUAAGCGUCGGUAAGGUGAUAUGAACCGUUAUAACCGGCGAUUUCCGAAUGGGGAAACCCAGUGUGAUUCGUCACACUAUCAUUAACUGAAUCCAUAGGUUAAUGAGGCGAACCGGGGGAACUGAAACAUCUAAGUACCCCGAGGAAAAGAAAUCAACCGAGAUUCCCCCAGUAGCGGCGAGCGAACGGGGAGGAGCCCAGAGCCUGAAUCAGUGUGUGUGUUAGUGGAAGCGUCUGGAAAGGCGCGCGAUACAGGGUGACAGCCCCGUACACAAAAAUGCACAUGCUGUGAGCUCGAUGAGUAGGGCGGGACACGUGGUAUCCUGUCUGAAUAUGGGGGACCAUCCUCCAAGGCUAAAUACUCCUGACUGACCGAUAGUGAACCAGUACCGUGAGGGAAAGGCGAAAAGAACCCCGGCGAGGGGAGUGAAAAAGAACCUGAAACCGUGUACGUACAAGCAGUGGGAGCCUCUUUAUGGGGUGACUGCGUACCUUUUGUAUAAUGGGUCAGCGACUUAUAUUCUGUAGCAAGGUUAACCGAAUAGGGGAGCCGAAGGGAAACCGAGUCUUAACUGGGCGUUAAGUUGCAGGGUAUAGACCCGAAACCCGGUGAUCUAGCCAUGGGCAGGUUGAAGGUUGGGUAACACUAACUGGAGGACCGAACCGACUAAUGUUGAAAAAUUAGCGGAUGACUUGUGGCUGGGGGUGAAAGGCCAAUCAAACCGGGAGAUAGCUGGUUCUCCCCGAAAGCUAUUUAGGUAGCGCCUCGUGAAUUCAUCUCCGGGGGUAGAGCACUGUUUCGGCAAGGGGGUCAUCCCGACUUACCAACCCGAUGCAAACUGCGAAUACCGGAGAAUGUUAUCACGGGAGACACACGGCGGGUGCUAACGUCCGUCGUGAAGAGGGAAACAACCCAGACCGCCAGCUAAGGUCCCAAAGUCAUGGUUAAGUGGGAAACGAUGUGGGAAGGCCCAGACAGCCAGGAUGUUGGCUUAGAAGCAGCCAUCAUUUAAAGAAAGCGUAAUAGCUCACUGGUCGAGUCGGCCUGCGCGGAAGAUGUAACGGGGCUAAACCAUGCACCGAAGCUGCGGCAGCGACACUAUGUGUUGUUGGGUAGGGGAGCGUUCUGUAAGCCUGCGAAGGUGUACUGUGAGGUAUGCUGGAGGUAUCAGAAGUGCGAAUGCUGACAUAAGUAACGAUAAAGCGGGUGAAAAGCCCGCUCGCCGGAAGACCAAGGGUUCCUGUCCAACGUUAAUCGGGGCAGGGUGAGUCGACCCCUAAGGCGAGGCCGAAAGGCGUAGUCGAUGGGAAACAGGUUAAUAUUCCUGUACUUGGUGUUACUGCGAAGGGGGACGGAGAAGGCUAUGUUGGUAGGGCGACGGUUGUCCCGGUUUAAGCGUGUAGGCUGGUUUUCCAGGCAAAUCCGGAAAAUCAAGGCUGAGGCGUGAUGACGAGGCACUACGGUGCUGAAGCAACAAAUGCCCUGCUUCCAGGAAAAGCCUCUAAGCAUCAGGUAACAUCAAAUCGUACCCCAAACCGACACAGGUGGUCAGGUAGAGAAUACCAAGGCGCUUGAGAGAACUCGGGUGAAGGAACUAGGCAAAAUGGUGCCGUAACUUCGGGAGAAGGCACGCUGAUAUGUAGGUGAAGUCCCUCGCGGAUGGAGCUGAAAUCAGUCGAAGAUACCAGCUGGCUGCAACUGUUUAUUAAAAACACAGCACUGUGCAAACACGAAAGUGGACGUAUACGGUGUGACGCCUGCCCGGUGCCGGAAGGUUAAUUGAUGGGGUUAGCGGUAACGCGAAGCUCUUGAUCGAAGCCCCGGUAAACGGCGACUGUAACUAUAACGGUCCUAAGGUAGCGAAAUUCCUUGUCGGGUAAGUUCCGACCUGCACGAAUGGCGUAAUGAUGGCCAGGCUGUCUCCACCCGAGACUCAGUGAAAUUGAACUCGCUGUGAAGAUGCAGUGUACCCGCGGCAAGACGGAAAGACCCCGUGAACCUUUACUAUAGCUUGACACUGAACAUUGAGCCUUGAUGUGUAGGAUAGGUGGGAGGCUUUGAAGUGUGGACGCCAGUCUGCAUGGAGCCGACCUUGAAAUACCACCCUUUAAUGUUUGAUGUUCUAACGUUGGCCCCUGAUCGGGGUUGCGGACAGUGUCUGGUGGGUAGUUUGACUGGGGCGGUCUCCUCCUAAAGAGUAACGGAGGAGCACGAAGGUUGGCUAAUCCUGGUCGGACAUCAGGAGGUUAGUGCAAUGGCAUAAGCCAGCUUGACUGCGAGCGUGACGGCGCGAGCAGGUGCGAAAGCAGGUCAUAGUGAUCCGGUGGUUCUGAAUGGAAGGGCCAUCGCUCAACGGAUAAAAGGUACUCCGGGGAUAACAGGCUGAUACCGCCCAAGAGUUCAUAUCGACGGCGGUGUUUGGCACCUCGAUGUCGGCUCAUCACAUCCUGGGGCUGAAGUAGGUCCCAAGGGUAUGGCUGUUCGCCAUUUAAAGUGGUACGCGAGCUGGGUUUAGAACGUCGUGAGACAGUUCGGUCCCUAUCUGCCGUGGGCGCUGGAGAACUGAGGGGGCUGCUCCUAGUACGAGAGGACCGGAGUGGACGCAUCACUGGUGUUCGGGUUGUCAUGCCAAUGGCACUGCCCGGUAGCUAAAUGCGGAAGAGAUAAGUGCUGAAAGCAUCUAAGCACGAAACUUGCCCCGAGAUGAGUUCUCCCUGACUCCUUGAGAGUCCUGAAGGAACGUUGAAGACGACGACGUUGAUAGGCCGGGUGUGUAAGCGCAGCGAUGCGUUGAGCUAACCGGUACUAAUGAACCGUGAGGCUUAACCUU
Molecule: ribosomal RNA, 2901 nt
Filed under: Escherichia coli
Lineage: Bacteria; Pseudomonadati; Pseudomonadota; Gammaproteobacteria; Enterobacterales; Enterobacteriaceae
Description: 23S ribosomal RNA
Rfam family: Bacterial large subunit ribosomal RNA
Source: RNAcentral